GUCCAGACUCCUACGGGAGGCAGCAGUGAGGAAUAUUGGUCAAUGGGCUUACGCCUGAACCAGCCAAGUCGCGUGAGGGAUGACGGUCCUAUGGAUUGUAAACCUCUUUUGUCAGGGAGCAAAGGGCGCCACGUGUGGCGUUUUGCGAGUACCUGAAGAAAAAGCAUCGGCUAACUCCGUGCCAGCAGCCGCGGUAAUACGGAGGAUGCGAGCGUUAUCCGGAUUUAUUGGGUUUAAAGGGUGCGUAGGCGGAAGGUUAAGUCAGCGGUCAAAUGUCGGUGCUCAACACCGGCCUGCCGUUGAAACUGGUCUUCUUGAGUGAGCGAGAAGUAUGCGGAAUGCGCGGUGUAGCGGUGAAAUGCAUAGAUAUCGCGCAGAACUCCGAUUGCGAAGGCAGCAUGCCGGCUCCACACUGACGCUGAGGCACGAAAGCGUGGGUAUCGAACAGGAUUAGAUACCCUUGUACC
RNAcentral lists this ribosomal RNA (467 nucleotides) under uncultured bacterium. RNAcentral describes it as "bacterial SSU rRNA". It matches the Rfam family "Bacterial small subunit ribosomal RNA", at positions 329 to 796 of the family's 1533-position model. The record is from RNAcentral.